UACCAGCUCUCCGAGUGGUGUGGAUGCUUAUUGGGCCUAAAGCAUCCGUAGCUGGCUGGGCAAGUCCCCUGUUAAAUCCACCGAUUUAAUCGUUGGAGUGCGGGGGAUACUGUUCGGCUAGGGGACGGGAGAGGCAGACGGUAUUUUCGGGGUAGGGGUGAAAUCCUAUAAUCCCGGGAAGACCACCAGUGGCGAAGGCUGUCUGCUAGAACGCGCCCGACGGUGAGGGAUGAAAGCUGGGGGAGCGAACCGGAUUAGAUACCCGGGUAGUCCCAGCUGUAAACGAUGCAGGCUAGGUGUUUGGGCGGCCACGUGCCGCUCUAGUGCCGCAGGGAAGCCGUUAAGCCUGCCGCCUGGGGAGUACGGCCGCAAGGCUGAAACUUAAAGGAAUUGGCGGGGGAGCACCACAAGGGGUGAAGCUUGCGGUUU
Molecule: ribosomal RNA, 429 nt
Filed under: uncultured archaeon
Lineage: Archaea
Description: bacterial SSU rRNA
Rfam family: Archaeal small subunit ribosomal RNA
Source: RNAcentral